Molecule: small RNA, 684 nt
Filed under: Malus domestica (apple)
Lineage: Eukaryota; Viridiplantae; Streptophyta; Magnoliopsida; Rosales; Rosaceae
Description: sRNA MD05G0187700
Source: RNAcentral
UGAUUUUGGUGCAGAUACAACUUCGUACUGUUCCCAGGGGAUGUAUUGAAGAUGGGGAUGCCAACUUAUAGCUUUUCAGUUCAAACAUCACAUUUGACUUCCAUGGUGGAAGAAGGUUUUGAUUUCAAUGCCUGCAUAUAUAAUGGAGCGUGGAUUACAUUCUGCAGAUUUGAUUUCAUUCCUGGUGGAACUUAGUUUUCAUGUUAAUGGCGAGGCAUAUAACAUAAAUUACAUUGAAUGAAAGGCAAAAAAAUAUGGUUAAGGAUCUUGCAGAUUUGGGACUGAUCAAACUUCAGCAGGGAAGGAAAGACGGUUUAUACCUACUAACGUGGCUACUAAUCUUUUAGUUAGCUUGACAGACUCAUCAUCGAGGAAACAAGGAUUUGUUAGUGGAAACAAACUCAGGCUCUAUGCCUACUCAAUAUCCAAACUACAUAGUGAAAUUUUAUGUCUUUUCCUAGCUGUUUUCCCCUUUUAGGGGCGGAUCGACGGUGGGUCAAAGUUGGUCAGUUGACCACAUGGACGCUGGAAAGUUGGCUGGGGAGAGCACCCAAAUUGUUUCUCGCAUCUUGGAUAAGGCACUGAAGGCAAUGCUGUCUCCUGAUUUCAGCCUUUGUCUCUGCUUAAUUCCAGAAAGAGUGUUGGCUUGCAAGUGUAGUCUAGGCAGGCACAAAAGAGAUCACU